This 744-nucleotide unclassified non-coding RNA is filed under the name Borreliella burgdorferi (Lyme disease spirochete). RNAcentral's name for it is "partial contains 16S ribosomal RNA and 16S-23S ribosomal RNA intergenic spacer". The stretch from base 126 to 199 matches the Rfam family "tRNA". Lineage: Bacteria; Pseudomonadati; Spirochaetota; Spirochaetia; Spirochaetales; Borreliaceae. The record is from RNAcentral.
UCUUUUCUUUUGAUAAGAGAGUUUUUAAAACCAGUGUUAUUUAUGUAAGUUUAAGAGAAGUUUAUGUAUUAAAUUAUUGAUACUAAAUAGUUUUAUUAGGCUUAGACUUAAUUUUAGGUCAUUUUGGGGGUUUAGCUCAGUUGGCUAGAGCAUCGGCUUUGCAAGCCGAGGGUCAAGGGUUCGAGUCCCUUAACCUCCAUUGGGCUUAUGCCCUAAAUUGUAAUUAAGUAUGUUUUUAAGUAACUUUGUUAAAGUAAUUGUUGGAAUGUGAAACACAAGAAGUUAAAAUUUCUGGGUUAAGUUGAGAUCUGUUGAUAUUAAGAAAAAUGUCUAGAAGCAAGAGCAAGCUUUCGAUAAAACCCGAAGUUGUUUCGCUAAAGUGCAAGGAUUAAACAGGAUUGUAUUUUUCAGCAGCCUAUUUUAUAAACGAUCUGCAUUUAGUAAAUAGUUUUUAGUUAGGAAAUAAUGUAGAUUACUAAGUGUGAUGUCUGAGAGAAGGACAAGUAUUGUAGCGAGCUUAAAUCCUUAUUAUCGUUGCCAGUAUUUAGUGGUAGGGAUUCGGAUAAGAUUGCCAGUUAUAAGUUGGAGGAAGGCAAAGAUUGCAUUAAAUCGUUAUCGCUCUUAUGUUUUAGGUUACAAGUUUGCAACAAUAACUCAAAAAAGCCAAGCAAAAUACCAUAAAGCAGAUUUCAGUUUGGAUUUGCCCGACACUCAAUGGCAUGAAGUUGUAAUUGUUAGUAAUCG